GAAGUGAGAUGCUCUAUAUAAAGCUGCUAACUUUUUUAUACAAUGGUUAAAUUCCAUUUUCACUUCU
RNAcentral lists this transfer RNA (67 nucleotides) under Pipunculus sp. XL-2018. RNAcentral describes it as "tRNA-Ser". The record is from RNAcentral. Lineage: Eukaryota; Metazoa; Arthropoda; Insecta; Diptera; Pipunculidae.